Molecule: ribosomal RNA, 502 nt
Filed under: uncultured bacterium
Lineage: Bacteria
Description: partial 16S ribosomal RNA
Rfam family: Bacterial small subunit ribosomal RNA
Source: RNAcentral
AUUGAACGCUGGCGGCAGGCUUAACACAUGCAAGUCGAGCGGGGUGAUGGUCUUGCACUAUCACUUAGCGGCGGACGGGUGAGUAAUGCUUAGGAAUCUGCCUAUUAGUGGGGGACAACAUCUCGAAAGGGAUGCUAAUACCGCAUACGUCCUACGGGAGAAAGCAGGGGAUCACUUGUGACCUUGCGCUAAUAGAUGAGCCUAAGUCGGAUUAGCUAGUUGGUGGGGUAAAGGCCUACCAAGGCGACGAUCUGUAGCGGGUCUGAGAGGAUGAUCCGCCACACUGGGACUGAGACACGGCCCAGACUCCUACGGGAGGCAGCAGUGGGGAAUAUUGGACAAUGGGGGGAACCCUGAUCCAGCCAUGCCGCGUGUGUGAAGAAGGCCUUAUGGUUGUAAAGCACUUUAAGCGAGGAGGAGGCUCUUUUGGUUAAUACCCAAGAUGAGUGGACGUUACUCGCAGAAUAAGCACCGGCUAACUCUGUGCCAGCCGCCGCAGUAA